AAAGGAAUUGACGGGGACCCGCACAAGCAGCGGAGCAUGUGGUUUAAUUCGAAGCAACGCGAAGAACCUUACCAGGGCUUGACAUACCGUUGACAGUUUUAGAGAUAGAAUCUUCCUUCGGGACAACGGAUACAGGUGGUGCAUGGUUGUCGUCAGCUCGUGUCGUGAGAUGUUGGGUUAAGUCCCGCAACGAGCGCAACCCUUGCCAAAAGUUGCUAACAUUAAGUUGAGCACUCUAGAGGGACUGCCGAUGAUAAAUCGGAGGAAGGUGGGGAUGACGUCAAAUCAUCAUGCCCUUUAUGUCCUGGGCUACACACGUGCUACAAUGGUCGGUACAAAGAGCAGCGAGAAGGUGACUUUAAGCAAAUCUCAUAAAGCCGAUCCCAGUUCGGAUUGUAGGCUGCAACUCGCCUACAUGAAGUCGGAGUUGCUAGUAAUCGCGAAUCAGAACGUCGCGGUGAAUGCGUUCCCGGGUCUUGUACACACCGCCCGU
RNAcentral lists this ribosomal RNA (493 nucleotides) under uncultured bacterium. RNAcentral's name for it is "bacterial SSU rRNA". It matches the Rfam family "Bacterial small subunit ribosomal RNA", at positions 903 to 1397 of the family's 1533-position model. The record is from RNAcentral.